Molecule: ribosomal RNA, 569 nt
Filed under: uncultured bacterium
Lineage: Bacteria
Description: bacterial SSU rRNA
Rfam family: Bacterial small subunit ribosomal RNA
Source: RNAcentral
AUUCCUACGGGAGGCAGCAGUGGGGAAUUUUCCGCAAUGGGCGAAAGCCUGACGGAGCAACGCCGCGUGAGGGACGAAGGCUUCUGGGCUGUAAACCUCUUUUCUCAAGGAAGAAGAUAUGACGGUACUUGGGGAAUAAGCCACGGCUAAUUCCGUGCCAGCAGCCGCGGUAAUACGGGAGUGGCAAGCGUUAUCCGGAAUUAUUGGGCGUAAAGCGUCCGCAGGCGGCUUUUCAAGUCUGCUGUUAAAACGUGGAGCUUAACUCCAUCAUGGCAGUGGAAACUGAAAGGCUUGAGUAUGGUAGGGGCAGAGGGAAUUCCCGGUGUAGCGGUGAAAUGCGUAGAUAUCGGGAAGAACACCAGUGGCGAAGGCGCUCUGCUGGGCCAUUACUGACGCUCAUGGACGAAAGCCAGGGGAGCGAAAGGGAUUAGAUACCCCUGUAGUCCUGGCCGUAAACGAUGAACACUAGGUGUCGGGGGAAUCGACCCUUCGGUGUCGUAGCUAACGCGUUAAGUGUUCCGCCUGGGGAGUACGCACGCAAGUGUGAAACUCAAAGGAAUUGACGGAAU